Non-coding RNA from Podarcis lilfordi (Lilford's wall lizard), 65 nucleotides. The record is from the annotation of a GenBank genome assembly. NCBI's taxonomy places the organism in Eukaryota, Metazoa, Chordata, Lepidosauria, Squamata, Lacertidae.
ACCCCUGGCUCAUUUGGUAGAGCAUGAGACUCUUAGGGUUGUGAGUUCGAGCCUCAUGUUGGGCA